Molecule: ribosomal RNA, 519 nt
Filed under: uncultured Oscillibacter sp.
Lineage: Bacteria; Bacillati; Bacillota; Clostridia; Eubacteriales; Oscillospiraceae
Description: partial 16S ribosomal RNA
Source: RNAcentral
CACGUAGUUAGCCGUGGCUUAUUCAAGGGGUACCGUCUUCUGCUCUUCCCCCUUAAAAGAAGUUUACAACCCGAAGCCUUCUUCCUUCACGCGGCGUUGCUGGGUCAGGCUUGCGCCAUUGCCCAAUAUUCCCCACUGCUGCCUCCCGUAGGAGUCUGGGCCGUAUCUCAGUCCCAAUGUGGCCGGUCAACCUCUCAGUCCGGCUACUGAUCGCCGCCUAGGUGGGCCGUUACCCCGCUACUAGCUAAUCAGACGCGAGGCCAUCUUCCAGCGAUAAAUCUUUGACAUGUCCGUGAUGCCACGGCCAUGUGUCAUGCGGUAUUAGCAGUCGUUUCCAACUGUUGUCCCCCUCUGGAAGGCAGGUUCCUCACGCGUUACUCACCAGUCCGCCACUAAGCCAUUCCCCUUCCAUUGUCCGAAAAACUCUUUCAGGGGGUUGCUCCGUUCGACUUGCAUGUGUUAAGCACGCCGCCAGCGUUCGUCCUGUAGCCAGGAUCGAAACUACUCUGUACGACUACG